AGUGAACGCUGGCGGUAGGCCUAACACAUGCAAGUCGAACGGCAGCACAGUAAGAGCUUGCUCUUACGGGUGGCGAGUGGCGGACGGGUGAGGAAUACAUCGGAAUCUACUUUUUCGUGGGGGAUAACGUAGGGAAACUUACGCUAAUACCGCAUACGACCUACGGGUGAAAGCAGGGGAUCUUCGGACCUUGCGCGAUUGAAUGAGCCGAUGUCGGAUUAGCUAGUUGGCGGGGUAAAGGCCCACCAAGGCGACGAUCCGUAGGUGGUCUGAGAGGAUGAUACGCCACAUUGGAAGUGAGAGACGGUCCAGCCUCCUGGGGGGGGCAGCAGGGGGGAAUAUUGGACAAGGGGCGCAAGCCUGACCCAGCCAUCCCGGGGGGGUGAAGAAGGCCUUGGGGUUGUAAACCCCUUUUGUGGGGAAAGAAAAGCAGCAGGUUAAUCCCCCGCUGUUCUGACGGUACCAAAAAAAUAAGCCCCGGCUAACUUCGUG
RNAcentral lists this ribosomal RNA (492 nucleotides) under uncultured bacterium. Its description in RNAcentral is "partial 16S ribosomal RNA". It matches the Rfam family "Bacterial small subunit ribosomal RNA", at positions 29 to 507 of the family's 1533-position model. The record is from RNAcentral.